Molecule: unclassified non-coding RNA, 1792 nt
Filed under: Hevea brasiliensis (rubber tree)
Lineage: Eukaryota; Viridiplantae; Streptophyta; Magnoliopsida; Malpighiales; Euphorbiaceae
Source: RNAcentral
GAAUAAAGGAAAAAAACAAAGAAUGAAGACUGAAAACACUAAGAAAUAAGGAAAAAGAAGAAGAAAAGGUAAUAAAGAGGGAGGCGGGGCGUGCCGCCAACCAAAAAUGAUGGCUGGCAGUGCCCCAUUUGAAGGCUUUGCAGCAUUGUCGAGGUUUGAGAGAGAAUGAGGGUUGCAGUGCCUUCUUGGUUUGUUGAGUGCAUCAUACACGUUUCAACUAAUGCGUAAAGAAUAUGGCCUUAAACGUUUUGCCCAAAUGAGUAAGCAAAGACAAGGUAAAACUGAAAUCAAUAAUAAUUGACCACCUAUUUUUAUUUUUUCCGCAUCCUCGUGUAUUUACUAAACCCCACAAAGGAGGGAAAUAGUAUCAAUUCAUGAAAGACUCAAAAUAAUUAUUGAAACAUAACAAAUGACUGAGCUAUUAGCCAACAGAUAAUGCUUUAGAAAACCUUUCAAGUAAAUAGAACAAUGCUCAAAAAUAGUCAAGAAAACCCCUAAAAGAAGGUUGGCCAACAAGACCAAUAAAGUAUCCACACAUGAGAGACUCAAGGUAUCCAUACAUUAAAUUAUGGAAACAAAAUUUCAACCUGUUUAUGCUACUUCAUAGAUAAGAAAUGAACAGAUUUGACAAAAUCAUCGCUUUCCACCACCACCACCAAGCUUGGGGCCCUUUGGUGCAGCACCCUUAGGCACAUUGCCCUUGGUCUGUGUUUUUUGAGUUUUGGCCAUCAACUCAGCUUUCUUUGCCUUUUUUUCAUCUUUUGUUUUCUUGAUCCUCUCCUUGAUUUCACGUAAAGCAGCUUCACGAGCAGCAUCUCGGACCUCUGGUUUCUCAGUCCUCCUCUUCUGUAUGACCUCCAAGGUGGCACCAACUAUAGACCUUGAAUAUGGCUUCUUGGUGGUCCUGCGCUUCUUCUUAACAGCCUCAGCAGCAAUGUCCUUCUUGUGUUGUUUCCUGUACAUGGCUGUCCAGGUAAGCUUUGAAGGCUUUAGGCGGUUGUGGAAGUACCUCUUGCAUUUUGAAUUGGCGAAGAGGAAAACCUGAGAAUCAGAUCGAACAAAUCUGAUACCCUUACCAGGGUAAAUCUUGGCACCGCUGAAGCGACAAAGCUCAGUCCUAAUAUCCCAAAACCAAGUACAAAAUCACAAACAAAAAAACUUGAAAACAAAAGCAUAAAACGAAAUCUAACAAUGCCCUAUCACAGAAUGCAAUGAAACCAAACCCACGGUGCAACAGUCCACAGAUACAGGACAACAGGGCACAGAUUGAAAUUGAGGUGCCCCAAUGGGUAAGCAAGUAUAAUUUAGCAAAAAACUAGUAUUGCACCCUACAAUAAAGAAUAAAUAAUAACAUUUGCACAAAGCUUCUUCGCAUUAAGUCAUUAACAUAGGCCCAACAAUUUUUGCGCACAUAAACGCUACACUGCUUCAUUUGACAGAAAAUUACAGUUCAUUUCUGGAAAACGAUAAUUUCUUUCAAUUGUAUCGGUAUAUACAUGAUUUUGGGGUUCCCGAAAUCCAACCAGGAUAUGAAGUUCAAGAAAAGAAAAAGGCAGAAUAAUUACUAAAAGAGAAUGUGAAACUCAUUGACGUUCAACAUUCUAAAUUAAUUGGAGAGAUGAACACCAAAGAUUCAGGAUUCAACCUCAGAUCUAAAAAGUUAACGCUUUGCCCAAUAGAAAGAAAAAUUGGUUCUGUUCAGAGAGAGAGAAGCUUACUUGAGAACCAUGUCAAAAGUUGGAUGAUAGCGCCUGAUGCUCAAGUCUCGGAAACCCUAAACUUCCAAUCUUUC